RNAcentral lists this ribosomal RNA (253 nucleotides) under uncultured bacterium. RNAcentral's name for it is "partial 16S ribosomal RNA". It matches the Rfam family "Bacterial small subunit ribosomal RNA", at positions 524 to 776 of the family's 1533-position model. The record is from RNAcentral.
UACGUAGGGGGCUAGCGUUGUCCGGAUUUAUUGGGCGUAAAGAGCGUGUAGGCGGCCAGAUAGGUCUGCUGUGAAAACUCGAGGCUCAACCUCGAGAUGUCGGCGGAAACCAUUUGGCUAGAGUCCGGAAGAGGAAAGUGGAAUUCCUGGUGUAGCGGUGAAAUGCGCAGAUAUCAGGAAGAACACCCGUGGCGAAGGCGGGUCUCUGGGCAGUAACUGACGCUGAGGAGCGAAAGCCAGGGGAGCAAACGGG